GCUCAGAUUUAUUGUAAGAGGGUGUAAAAAGCAACUCGUGGCUCAGUGUGCUGUCAGCGAGCCGCACUCGUUGUCAAUGCUCAUCUCCUUGUGGGAAAGCCACCCUUUGCCUUCGCGGGUAGAGUGGGCGCCUGCAUGCUGCUGGACACGCAGGGAUGCUCAGAGAGGCCGGGAGGCAGCAGCAGAGGAGGACAGAAGAGGAAAUGGUUCAUUUUGAAGAUGUGCCAUGAUAGGCAAUUCGAGCUUGCUUAUCUUUUCACACAUGCCAGCUUGGAUAACCUGGGUGGAAAACUGAAGUGAAGCAAAGACCUCAGCCUCUCACAGCUCUGGCAGCAGUCACCAGUGCCCUGCUGGAGCUGAGCUCUUGGGGAACACCUUGACCCCAGACUAAGGACUGGAGGUGACUGCUACACUGCUGUUUUAGGGAUCUUGAGAACUGUAAGUGCUCUAUUUCCUAGAGCAAACAAAAAAUGCUGCUCCUGUCUGCCCUUCAGAGGCACCCAGGAGGCAUCCAAGUCAGCCCCUAGUUUUGGGAAUGAGUUUGCCCUGUUCCCUGGGAUAUGAUGGUCUGCCACUCAGGAGGAGUUCACAGAGCACGCCAUAUUCCUGACUGCCCAGUAGUAUUCUAUCAGCUCAAUAUAGGCCUGAUGUUGUAUUAAGGAGAAAAGCUUUCCGGCCAGCAGUAGUGAUGCGUGAAGUUUCCUCAUUGACGGACCACAGAAUGCUUUGGGGCUGUUGGAAGAUGGGUUUUGUAUGCAGCACAUUUUGCAUCUCGGUGUUGUUCUCCAGAGCUGUUUGCUAGCAAAUUGCCAGGAUUUGAAAUUCAGGUAGGUUGCAGGAUGAAAAAAUAUCCUUCCCCACAUUGCUAUGACCUUUUUGGUGGUUUAUUUGUUAAAGGCAUUACUGUUCCCCUCGGGAAUGGUGCCUUCCUCUGUUUUAUGCUCUAAGGAUGUGGCUCUUUUCAUGUUUAUCUUUGAUUCAAGCAUUGUAAAGAGCAAUCCCUCGCACUUAUGUGCUUCAUUGUAUUCUGGCCAUGAGAGAUUCUCCCCCACUGUUUGUAGCCUUUUUUCAGUGCAGCUAGUAAAAUAUUUGAACAGAAAAAAGAAAAGAAAAAAAAAAAAAAGAAAAAAGGAAAGAAAAAAAAGAAAGAAAGAAAAGAAAAAGAGACACUAAACAGCUUCCAGCAUUUAGAGGAUAAAAUGAGAUGUAAGGAAAAGGAUGACUGUGGUUAAUGCACAGGGCUGGGAGGCCUCAGAUGGACCACGGCCUCUCUUCGUUUCUCUUCUCACAUCCUCUGUGACUUUGUCUAAGUUAUUUGACCUCCUCCUGCUGUAGCUCUGGGGUGUUAAACACACGCUGUGUUUUCUGCUUGGAAAACCCAAGCUUGCUGUCCCCAGAGAGCUCAGCGCUGCCCCUCUGCUCCCUAUGAGGAGCUGUAUGGCCAUGAGCCCUCAGCAUCCUCUGCUCUGCUCCCAGCAAACCCAGGGCCCUCAGCUGCCCCUCACACCCCUUGUCCUCCCAUGUGAAUGCCUGUCAGCAUGUGAUACAGCCUGGUUUUCUUCCCUGAUUUCAGAUGACACAUGGAAGCUGAUUUGCACAGGGUGGAUGCAAACCAAGGGCUCAUCCACUGAAAAAUAAUUAAGCUUCACUUGGUUACAGCAGGCAAGCUGGAAUACAAAGAUCCUAAGGCUGGUUAUGGGAGGGUGGUUAAGGGGACACCUCCAGUGGGCAAGGGUCUGUUGUAGUCCAGAUAAGCCCUCACAAUUCAGAGUUUUCUUAAAUUUCUGGGGCAUAAUGGCACAGCUGGCGACAGAGCACCAAGUGAAUAUUUGACAUAAAUAAACCAGUGUUCCUACGUGGGAGAAGGGCAGAGGGAGCCUGUGAAUUAAUGAUCAGCUUUUAAUUUGUCCUUUCAUUGGAAUCAAUGAAAAUGUCAGGAUGAUUGAGGUUUAUGUGCUCAUGGGAAAGAUGUGAGCCCAAGAGAAAGAGAUCAAGGCUAUUUUUUAAUAUAUUUGUUUCACUGAGGAAGAUGCUUCCCUUCAUCUCUAAUACCGGAGAAGGAUUUGCUGUGGGUGAAUUCCUGAGAAAGCCUGGGCAGUGUGUAUUGGAACGGGCUGCCCAGGGAGAUGGUGGAGUCACCGUCCCUGGAGGUGCUCAAGAACUGUGGAGACGUAGCACAGGAAGGGAUGUGGUCAAUGGGCAUGGUGGGAUGGGUUGACAGUUGGACUAGAAGACCUUAAAGGUCUUUUCCAACCUUUACAAUUCUAUAAUUCUGUAAUUCAUUCAAGUCUCAGCAGAGACCUGCCACCCUCAAGCUGUGGGCUGCUGGUUGUCCUUGGGCACAGGGUUCAGCCUACCUGGUGCUGGUUUUUCUGGCUGCAGGCAUAUCCUGCUUGCUCACCCCAGUGCCAGAUCUGCUGUGGAAGGCACAGGGCUGGGUGCAGUUCAGGAUGGCAGCAGCAAAAUGAGAGCCUCAAGAUCCUGGUUUGAAAAGGGUGGAUUCUGCUGAUGGAUGUGAAAAGCUGGC
This 2527-nucleotide long non-coding RNA is filed under the name Gallus gallus (chicken). Its description in RNAcentral is "lncRNA (ENSGALG00010027615.1)". The record is from RNAcentral. Lineage: Eukaryota; Metazoa; Chordata; Aves; Galliformes; Phasianidae.